RNAcentral lists this long non-coding RNA (488 nucleotides) under Nicotiana tabacum (common tobacco). RNAcentral's name for it is "long non-coding RNA (NTAB_LNC012811)". The record is from RNAcentral. Lineage: Eukaryota; Viridiplantae; Streptophyta; Magnoliopsida; Solanales; Solanaceae.
CUAAAUUUGAUCAAAACCUCACAAUUUAGAGCAAAUUUAAUGGAGGUACUCACGAUUUGAGGUAUUUUGAUCUGAUUAUUGGUUAAUUCUCGAUGCCUUUUCUCUAAUUUCCCCAAUUUUGAGCUCAGGGUUCCUUGGGUCUCGAAUCUAUCACGCACUUGUGAUUUGCCAUGAACAGGGCAAGUUACAGACUAGCUAAAAGAACUAUCCUAGACGAUGAAGAAGGGUGAAUUGCACUACGAACAAUUGCACCUGGAAUAUGUCUUUUAUUUCAUUAGAGUCGAAGCAAGAUUUCACUGUUGUCCAACUAAGUUGUGUAUUUUGAGGUCCAGCUUGUUUCCAUUGUCAAGGUGUGUGAUGUUCUGUCUGUAGACAUACGCAAUGCAGUAAAAUGGAUACACAUUACCUGAGAUGUAAAGGUGCCAAAAAGUUGCUCUAUCACUUAUUGGUCUUGCUUCCUGUUUUCUUUUUUUUUUUUUUUUUUUUUU